UACAGAGGGUGCGAGCGUUAAUCGGAGUUACUGGGCGUAAAGGGCGCGUAGGCGGUUACUUAAGAUAGAUGUGAAAUCCCUGGGCUUAACCUAGGAACUGCGUCUGUGACUGAGUGACUGGAGUACUGUAGAGGGUAGUGGAAUUUCCGGUGUAGCGGUGAAAUGCGUAGAGAUCGGAAGGAACACCAGUGGCGAAGGCGGCUACCUGGACAGAUACUGACGCUGAGGCGCGAAAGCGUGGGGAGCAAACAGG
RNAcentral lists this unclassified non-coding RNA (253 nucleotides) under uncultured Gammaproteobacteria bacterium. RNAcentral describes it as "contains 16S-23S intergenic spacer region". It matches the Rfam family "Bacterial small subunit ribosomal RNA", at positions 524 to 776 of the family's 1533-position model. The record is from RNAcentral. Lineage: Bacteria; Pseudomonadati; Pseudomonadota; Gammaproteobacteria.